CUAACUCAAAUUUGUAUGGAGUUGGAAGAGCUUCCUUACGUUUGCCGCUAGGGGCGCUGUUCCAACUCCAUACAUACAAAUUUGGAUUA
Molecule: non-coding RNA, 89 nt
Organism: Bombyx mori (domestic silkworm)
Lineage: Eukaryota; Metazoa; Arthropoda; Insecta; Lepidoptera; Bombycidae
Source: Rfam